UGGGAGACUCGGACCUUUCACUGGUAG
Molecule: non-coding RNA, 27 nt
Filed under: Rattus norvegicus (Norway rat)
Lineage: Eukaryota; Metazoa; Chordata; Mammalia; Rodentia; Muridae
Source: RNAcentral